UUAUUAUUUACAACGUUCAUCUGACAGGUUAGAUCAUGUGCUAUUUUUAUAGAGCAGGUUCUUACGGACAUGGCAAUACCUAAUAUGUCUACCUUUUUUACAUUUAUCUAGGUUUUACACCAUAAUAUCAUUUUUGAAA
Long non-coding RNA from Bufo bufo (common toad), 139 nucleotides. RefSeq lists it as uncharacterized. NCBI's taxonomy places the organism in Eukaryota, Metazoa, Chordata, Amphibia, Anura, Bufonidae. The transcript has 2 exons. The record is from RefSeq and is a predicted model, not a curated record.